CAUUAGCCACGGUAAUACGUAGGGUGCAAGCGUUAAUCGGAAUUACUGGGCGUAAAGCGUGCGCAGGCGGUUAUAUAAGACAGAUGUGAAAUCCCCGGGCUCAACCUGGGAACUGCAUUUGUGACUGUAUAGCUAGAGUACGGCAGAGGGGGAUGGAAUUCCGCGUGUAGCAGUGAAAUGCGUAGAUAUGCGGAGGAACACCGAUGGCGAAGGCAAUCCCCUGGGCCUGUACUGACGCUCAUGCACGAAAGCGUGGGGAGCAAACAGGAUUAGAUACCCCCGUAGUCCCUGUCUCUUAUAC
This 301-nucleotide ribosomal RNA is filed under the name uncultured bacterium. Its description in RNAcentral is "partial 16S ribosomal RNA". It matches the Rfam family "Bacterial small subunit ribosomal RNA", at positions 509 to 807 of the family's 1533-position model. The record is from RNAcentral.